CCGAGACUCAGUGAAAUUGAACUCGCUGUGAAGAUGCAGUGUACCCGCGGCAAGACGGAAAGACCCCGUGAACCUUUACUAUAGCUUGACACUGAACAUUGAGCCUUGAUGUGUAGGAUAGGUGGGAGGCUUUGAAGUGUGGACGCCAGUCUGCAUGGAGCCGACCUUGAAAUACCACCCUUUAAUGUUUGAUGUUCUAACGUGGACCCGUUACCCGGGUUGCGGACAGUGUCUGGUGGGUAGUUUGACUGGGGCGGUCUCCUCCUAAAGAGUAACGGAGGAGCACGAAGGUUGGCUAAUCCUGGUCGGACAUCAGGAGGUUAGUGCAAUGGCAUAAGCCAGCUUGACUGCGAGCGUGACGGCGCGAGCAGGUGCGAAAGCAGGUCAUAGUGAUCCGGUGGUUCUGAAUGGAAGGGCCAUCGCUCAACGGAUAAAAGGUACUCCGGGGAUAACAGGCUGAUACCGCCCAAGAGUUCAUAUCGACGGCGGUGUUUGGCACCUCGAUGUCGGCUCAUCACAUCCUGGGGCUGAAGUAGGUCCCAAGGGUAUGGCUGUUCGCCAUUUAAAGUGGUACGCGAGCUGGGUUUAGAACGUCGUGAGACAGUUCGGUCCCUAUCUGCCGUGGGCGCUGGAGAACUGAGGGGGGCUGCUCCUAGUACGAGAGGACCGGAGUGGACGCAUCACUGGUGUUCGGGUUGUCAUGCCAAUGGCACUGCCCGGUAGCUAAAUGCGGAAGAGAUAAGUGCUGAAAGCAUCUAAGCACGAAACUUGCCCCGA
This 777-nucleotide ribosomal RNA is filed under the name Salmonella enterica subsp. enterica serovar Bovismorbificans. Its description in RNAcentral is "partial 23S ribosomal RNA". It matches the Rfam family "Bacterial large subunit ribosomal RNA", at positions 2026 to 2802 of the family's 2925-position model. Lineage: Bacteria; Pseudomonadati; Pseudomonadota; Gammaproteobacteria; Enterobacterales; Enterobacteriaceae. The record is from RNAcentral.